UACAGAGACUGCAAGCGUUGUUCGGAUUCAUUGGGCGUAAAGGGUCCGUAGGCGGUCGGUUAAGUCGGAUGUGAAAUCUCGUGGCCUAACCACGAGCGGUCAUUCGAAACUAAUCGGCUAGAGGGCUGGAGAGGAGACUGGAAUUGUCGGUGUAGCGGUGAAAUGCGUAGAGAUCGACAAGAACACCGGUGGCGAAGGCGGGUCUCUGGGCCAUUACUGACACUGAGAAGCGAAAGCAUGGGGAGCGAACAGG
Molecule: ribosomal RNA, 253 nt
Filed under: uncultured bacterium
Lineage: Bacteria
Description: partial 16S ribosomal RNA
Rfam family: Bacterial small subunit ribosomal RNA
Source: RNAcentral